CGCGUAGGCGGCCAUUCAAGUCGGGGGUGAAAGCCUGUGGCUCAACCACAGAAUUGCCUUCGAUACUGUUUGGCUUGAGUUUGGUAGAGGUUGGUGGAACUGCGAGUGUAGAGGUGAAAUUCGUAGAUAUUCGCAAGAACACCAGUGGCGAAGGCGGCCAACUGGACCAACACUGACGCUGAGGCGCGAAAGCGUGGGAGCAAACA
Molecule: ribosomal RNA, 206 nt
Filed under: uncultured bacterium
Lineage: Bacteria
Description: partial 16S ribosomal RNA
Rfam family: Bacterial small subunit ribosomal RNA
Source: RNAcentral